This 358-nucleotide ribosomal RNA is filed under the name uncultured fungus. RNAcentral's name for it is "bacterial SSU rRNA". It matches the Rfam family "Eukaryotic small subunit ribosomal RNA", at positions 56 to 375 of the family's 1831-position model. The record is from RNAcentral. Lineage: Eukaryota; Fungi.
CUUACUGCUGUCUAGUAUAGCAUAUAUACAGUGAAACUGCGAAUGGCUCAUUAAAUCAGUUAUCGUUUAUUUGAUAAUCCCUUACUACUUGGAUACCCGUGGUAAUUCUAGAGCUAAUACAUGCUACAAAUCCCGACCUCUGGAAGGGAUGUAUUUAUUAGAUAAAAAACCAAUGCCUUCUGACUCCUUGGUGAUUCUUGAUAACUUUACAAAUCGCAUGGUCUUGCGCCGGCGAUGGUUCAUUCAAAUUUCUGCCCUAUCAACUUUCUAUGGUAGGAUAGUGGCCUACCAUGGUGUCAACGGCUAACGGCGAAUGGGGCGGGGGCGGCGGGCCGGCGGCGGCGCGCGGCGGGCGACG